CGCGGAACUAAUGGAGUAAUUGGUCUAACGAGACUAGCCCGCGCUGAUUGGCUGUCUGGCUGCUCCGCCCACUUAGCUACAGAGAAUUUAGUGCUGAGUUUACUGGACGGCAUCCGCAUCCGCCAUAUUAUUCUACUGUAUAACUUCACCGUUUAAGAUGUUUGUGUAUGGUAUGCAUAAUAUAGACUGUUUACAAUUAUUUGCUUUGUGUUUUUUAUUCAACUUCAGUAUUGGUUUCUUUGGACAUUUUGGAAGAUCAUUUUACUAUUCAGUACAGAAGGACCGCACUCGUUCCACCAGUUUCCUUCCAACAAACUCAUCCGACAUCAAUGGUUGGAAGGAAUCGGAAGGCCUGAUUUCCAUCCAUCCAGCCGCAAUGUAGUUUGUUCGGACCAUUUCGCCAGCAGCUGCUUCAGUGACCAGAAAAAAAGGAAGAGAUCCACGGAAGAUUAGGACACUAAAGGACGGCAGCGUACCCAGCGUACCAAAAGCCUUGGAUAAGCGAGCAACUGCAGGAUCCACCAACGUUUCUCCAGAGAAAAAACGGUUAUGCGCGUUUGGAGAAAGCGAUGCUUUGAAUACCAGCGUUAGAAGAGCAUAAUGUCAUUGCGCAGCUGCGGGAAAGAAUUGAUGAAUUGGAAGGUGCGCUGGCCGUAUCGGACAUCCGCAUCCAGGAACUAGAAUCCGACAUACAAGAACGCGACGAGCGCAUAAGCGAACUGGAACACCUAUUGUUCAUGGAAGAUAAAGAGCCUUUGAUCAAUGUCGACGACAAGAUAUCUGACGUAAAAAGCGAAACUUUUCGAAGGAUGACAGGGGUAAUGAACGUUGAAGUUCUGAAUGAAAUAGCGGAGAUUUUUUCACCGGCGAUUUUAGCCGCCUGGCAAAAGAGGAACGAGGGAGGCAUUCCAAGACCUGGCAGGCGAAAGCAGUGUG
This is a long non-coding RNA of Paramacrobiotus metropolitanus, 936 nucleotides long. RefSeq lists it as uncharacterized. The record is from RefSeq and is a predicted model, not a curated record. Lineage: Eukaryota; Metazoa; Tardigrada; Eutardigrada; Parachela; Macrobiotidae. The transcript has 4 exons.